GCGAUAAAUUACCUUUCAUACAUUCGGUAGUAAAGUAUGGGAAUGGAAUUUAAAAAGUGUAUCAUUUUAAAUGCAUCGUGAAGUUUUUGUAUUAAAUUGUAAUGUACAACAAGAGAGAUUCAGAUUUCCUAUUUUAAGCUUUUUAAAAUUCAUUUACCAAACGAAACCAGCUGAAAAUUACCCCAAAUGCACAAAUUUAAAUUUGUACCCAUGUCAGUUUUGGGCCACAUUAGAACUGUCACGAUGCUCAAAAUUCACACAACCACCCUGUUCGAGACCAUCUGCCAAAUGGGCUGAAUGCGUGUGUGUGCGUAAGCUUGCUGAUGAGAAAAAUCGACCAACGACUAUCGUGCAUGUGUGUGCGUGAUCUUUUCUGCUUGUUUUAAGCGUUCGAUUCGUGCGAAAUUGAUGGUAAAUCAAGUGAACUUUAUAUUAUUCGAGAUUUUCAAGCUCAUUUCUAAUGCAUUCACAUAUUUGGCGAACAAUUGUGACGUUAUGAGGUGCAGAAAAUAGUCGGCGUCAGUGUUGGACCGCUAAUAAUACGCAGUGUUGUGGUGUGUGUGUGAUGUGCAUUGCACGAACACAGUGACCGUUUUGGACGUUGUCAAUAUAAAAAAGAGCAUACGAUGGUGAGAAGUCGGCCAUUUCUAACUGGUGUGUGAAGCGGAGCAGACGUUUCGUGCGUGAGGUUCUGCGAGCAUUGCCGCGCGGGCGCCGGGUGUGUCUCCCGGUAGCACCCCCGGUAGCACCCCCGGUUGUUACUGGAAGGGCGUUGCUGCUGCAGUGGCGGCAGCUGUGCGUAGCUUGGCUGGCGUGUGGCAAACCGGCAUCGCAGUUCAGUUGGCCCUCGGAUGCGGUCAACGGAGCACGAUUGUUGCAACAAAAUGGCUGCCGUCUGGUGAAAAACGUGCGCGGCAAAGCGUUGGCGUUAUUUCCGUGGAUGGCGUCAUGUCGGCCUGCUGCAAGGUUAGAAAAUCAGUGCGUGUGUCGGGACCGGUUUCACCAGCAUGGAACCAGCGGCCGUUAGACUUAAAAACUAGAAAAUGUGUUCUCAUUGACGUUCAGCAUGGACCACCGUAAGGAAACGAUCCAUCGCGUCGCAUACUUCCCCAUCAACGUGCGUUGCAACCGCGUGGCUCGUCUCUGUUCGUGCUGAAGCGGCUCAUGUUCCCGGUAUUUGAAGCUGGCGGCGGAGACGCGCUGGUACGCGGUGUGAAAACCAUGGUUAACGAAUACACCAACACCACGGCACUUCUUAUUCAUACAUGCGCAUAAGUCAAUGUGUGUGUGUGUGUGUGUGGGUAUAAAUCAUCGCGAUUUACGCCUAGGAGUGGAUCGCAAUCGGGAGAGCGAAAGAGAUGCAGUAAAAGACCGACUAUUCGGCUUUUUCAGCACUAAGUCUCAGCAGCUCUUCUUUCUUCAGGCCGAUCGCAUGGAAAGGCGUUCAGGCUGAAAAGAUCUGUUAAACAACCACCUAAAUUUCGGAUGUAACAUCUAGUAUAAAACCUUACACCAUUGUGAAUAAGGUACACUGAUACAGCAUCAGCCCCUUAGCGGAUAGUGACCAGCAAUUGCAUUGACGCCAUUGUGGAUUAGGUAUGUCACUAUAGCAUCAGUGCCAUUGUGGAUGCGAUGCGGCUAUACAGCGUCAGCUCCAUCAUGUAAGCUGUGCGGCGAAAGUGGCACCUCUUUAUUCUAAUUCCCUCAAACAACCACUAAAAUUUCGGAUAUUAUUCAAAGCCUAAAUCAUUGAGGUCGUCCGUUGUAGUAGGAAGUUUCGCGAUACAUUAAACAACCACUCAAAUUUCGGAUGUUAACAUGUGAUAUGCAUUGCCAAUCGCACUCUGAUACUUAAACAUCGGGUAACCGAGAAAAACCCGCUUAAUCGUAAAAGAUCUUUGUUCGUGUAGUUCGAAAUCGUAAUCCAUAUGCCACUUGGAUGUAUGGAUGUUAACUUAGCGAAAUGUUUUUAAGUGGCGACCUGCCAAGGAACGUAGAAUGUAAUAAACGCGGAAAUUAAAUUUCAUGCGCUGCAUGGGAGAAAGAGAUCAAA
Molecule: long non-coding RNA, 2053 nt
Organism: Anopheles merus
Lineage: Eukaryota; Metazoa; Arthropoda; Insecta; Diptera; Culicidae
Exons: 2
Source: RefSeq, a predicted model, not a curated record